This 473-nucleotide long non-coding RNA is filed under the name Musa acuminata (dwarf banana). RNAcentral's name for it is "long non-coding RNA (MACU_LNC007566)". Lineage: Eukaryota; Viridiplantae; Streptophyta; Magnoliopsida; Zingiberales; Musaceae. The record is from RNAcentral.
CAAGUACAAGCUCGAUUCCAUGAGGCAGGAGAUGGAGGCGGAGGAGUCCCACCCCAUGGUGCUCGUCCAAAUACCCAUGUUCAACGAGAAAGAGGUACGCCAAUGGCCGGCCAUUCGGCUCAUCAUCUAACAACUCUGCAAUCGCCCAUCCAAACAGAUGUUGUCAGUUCGUAAUUAUGUGAUUAGCUUUUAUGAAUCAUAUAGUUGGUAAUGAAGAGGAACACAAAUGCUAAGCACGCGAUGACAGGUAUACCGCUUAUCGAUCGGGGCAGCCUGCGCCAUGUCAUGGCCGUCUAACAAGAUGAUAGUUCAAGUUCUCGAUGACUCCACUGAUCCCGUCAUCAAGGUGAUGAUACCUGCACCUGCAACAGAGAAAGAACCACCGUGGCAACGACAUGCGAUGGAUGAUGCUUUGCUCACCUGCGAUGCUUGCUUUUGGUUGCCGUGGUCGUCGCAGGAGAUGGUGGAAUACG